UGUUCUAGGAAAACAAAGGAAGAGGAAAUUGAAGAAUUCAGAUCAUCAGAAGCACAGAGCACUGGCUCGGUUCACUCUGAGGAACACGAAGAAAAGACGAAGCCAGCUACAACAGCCUCUUCCCUUCUUGCCACUCUUGAUGUGCCACCCAAACCUGUUCCCCGAAAGAGAGCAUUGACCAAGAAAACAAAUGUAGCUGUCGACAACCAACCUUCUAUUCAGGAUGCUUUUGCUAAGAAAAAGACAACGGCCAAACGCAGCAAGGCAGCAGCAGCUAAGAAUUCAGGUUCCAGUACAGAUGAAGUUGCCGCCAAAAAGCCGGCACCACCUGCCAAGGCAAAGAAAGCCACCAAAAGGAAGCCAUCCUCAUCGUGUACUUCUGAAGACUCUGAUCCAGACUUUGGCCAGUGCCUUAAAAAAAGAACAACACUUAAGAAAUCCAAGAAGGUGGAUGAAUCAUUUGCCAUUGAACUGAGCUCCGAUGAGGACUUACCUGCUCUAGCCAUAGCCCGUGAAAAACCAAGUCGGGCUAGGAAGCCAAUUCAGUAUCUAGAGUCGUCAGAGGAUGAGAUGUUCUAAUCUGACAGCAAAAUGUAUUUGCAUUUCUUUCCAUUGUAUUCAAAAAUGAUUUCUUUAGAAAACAAAAAACUGAUUCGAAAUGGUCUGAUGACACAAGAUGUUGUCAUGCUUUUGUCUAUCACUGUAAAUAUUUUUCUGUGUUGUUUGUGUGUUCCAACAAUCACUUUUAUUCUGAAUAAAAGUAUUUGUAAUAAAA
This is a non-coding RNA of Python bivittatus (Burmese python), 775 nucleotides long. The record is from RefSeq and is a predicted model, not a curated record. Lineage: Eukaryota; Metazoa; Chordata; Lepidosauria; Squamata; Pythonidae.